This 477-nucleotide ribosomal RNA is filed under the name uncultured bacterium. RNAcentral's name for it is "partial 16S ribosomal RNA". It matches the Rfam family "Bacterial small subunit ribosomal RNA", at positions 30 to 507 of the family's 1533-position model. The record is from RNAcentral.
AUUGAACGCUGGCGGCAUGCCUUACACAUGCAAGUCGACCGGUAACAGGUUAAGCUGACGAGUGGCGAACGGGUGAGUAAUACAUCGGAACGUGCCCAGUAGUGGGGGAUAGCCCGGCGAAAGCCGGAUUAAUACCGCAUACGACCUAAGGGUGAAAGGGGGGGAUCGCAAGACCUCUCGCUAUUGGAGCGGCCGAUGUCAGAUUAGCUAGUUGGUGGGGUAAAAGCUCACCAAGGCGACGAUCUGUAGCUGGUCUGAGAGGACGACCAGCCACACUGGGACUGAGACACGGCCCAGACUCCUACGGGAGGCAGCAGUGGGGAAUUUUGGACAAAGGGCGCAAGCCUGAUCCAGCCAUGCCGCGUGCGGGAAGAAGGCCUUCGGGUUGUAAACCGCUUUUGUCAGGGAAGAAAUCCUUUGGGUUAAUACCUCGGGGGGAUGACGGUACCUGAAGAAUAAGCACCGGCUAACUACGUG